This 587-nucleotide ribosomal RNA is filed under the name uncultured bacterium. RNAcentral's name for it is "bacterial SSU rRNA". It matches the Rfam family "Bacterial small subunit ribosomal RNA", at positions 338 to 916 of the family's 1533-position model. The record is from RNAcentral.
CCUACGGGAGGCAGCAGUAGGGAAUCUUCCGCAAUGGACGAAAGUCUGACGGAGCAACGCCGCGUGAACGAUGAAGGCCUUCGGGUCGUAAAGUUCUGUUGUUAGGGAAGAACAAGUGCUAGUUGAAUAAGCUGGCACCUUGACGGUACCUAACCAGAAAGCCACGGCUAACUACGUGCCAGCAGCCGCGGUAAUACGUAGGUGGCAAGCGUUGUCCGGAAUUAUUGGGCGUAAAGCGCGCGCAGGCGGUUUCUUAAGUCUGAUGUGAAAGCCCCCGGCUCAACCGGGGAGGGUCAUUGGAAACUGGGAAACUUGAGUGCAGAAGAGGGAAGUGGAAUUCCAAGUGUAGCGGUGAAAUGCGUAGAGAUUUGGAGGAACACCAGUGGCGAAGGCGACUUUCUGGUCUGUAACUGACGCUGAGGCGCGAAAGCGUGGGGAGCAAACAGGAUUAGAUACCCUGGUAGUCCACGCUGUAAACGAUGAGUGCUAAGUGUUAGAGGGUUUCCGCCCUUUAGUGCUGAAGUUAACGCAUUAAGCACUCCGCCUGGGGAGUACGGUCGCAAGACUGAAACUUAAGGAAUUGACGG